Nyctereutes procyonoides (raccoon dog) is the source of this 2638-nucleotide long non-coding RNA. RefSeq lists it as uncharacterized. The transcript has 5 exons. NCBI's taxonomy places the organism in Eukaryota, Metazoa, Chordata, Mammalia, Carnivora, Canidae. The record is from RefSeq and is a predicted model, not a curated record.
CAGACACACCAUAGGAAGAAUGCUAUAUGAACUUGAAAGCAGAGAUGGGCUGAGCAUCUGCAAGCCAAUGAACACCAAAGAUUCAGAGCAAACACCCAGAAGCUAAGAGAGAGAGGCAUGGAACAGAUUCUUCCGCCCAGGCUUCAGAAGGAACCAGUCUUGCUGACACCUUGAACUUGAACUUCUAGCCUCUGGAACCGUGAGACAAUAUGUUUCUGUUGUGGGUUCGGAGGAAGGAGACACAUUCAGCCUCAAGGGCCAGAGAGAGCAUGAUGGUUUCUGGUGAGGGCAAGUAGCUGGAGGCGUGGGCAGGAGCAAGGGCUUCCAGCCCCAUCAUGUCCCACCGGAGAUCUUGCCUGGACGAGACUAAAACUGACGGAUGGCUCCCACUGGCCAUUUGAGAGCACGUCCCCCGCUGGCCAAGCCCGGGGAAGGUGGGUGCAUUUCAACUACCCCUCGGCCCAUCUGUGCCCCGUUCAGGCUCCGACUCUCCUCUUGUCUGCUCUCUUCGUCCUCCAGAUUUAAUGUCUCUUCCACGCGACUCAACCAGCCUCAUGAGCCUCAAAAAUCAUCUGGUACUGGUACUGGCUGGCAGCUUCCUGGCCCGAUGACGCUAACUGUUGGGGAUGGGACUCGGCCACCAGGCCCUGCAGCGCCCUCCCCAUCCCUGACCACCCAGGAUGGCCCGACCCGGCGGCCUGCAAGGAAAUGAAUUCCUGGCUGGAGGGAAACAGCAAGAAGUUUCUAGCCAUCUAGAUUUCACAUGAACAACUCAAGAACUUGAGACUGGACAUGAGACUGGGCGUGAAAGCCCCUCCUCGGGUGCCAGGAUUCGAACUUGCCUGUGAUGGACGUGGUCACCUGGACGGCUUCGGACAGGUGCGUUCUCGCACUGCCAGUUACACCUUCCCACUUGGAGGACUGUAUUACUCAGCACGACAGGCGGCUACCAGGGAAAGCGGUGGCAGGAAGGGAAGGCGACCCUUUCCUCACUAAGCGAAGGAAGAGGUGUGAAUCUGGGGACCACAGUCUGGCCCUGAUUGAAGCCCACAGGCCCUGGAGAUGCUCUCACAGGAAGGAACUACUGGGGGAAUGGGACCCGGUGACCACGCCAGUUACAGAAGGAACCAUUCCAGUGUGACACAGCAGAAGACACAAGAGGAUGGGUGCUCAAAGGAGAGCCCAAGGAUAAGGCAACAUGACCGAGUGCAGACACAGGUUGAAGCCAGGCGCCUGAGCAGCUGCCACUGUCAGUGGAGCCGGAGACCUUCCAGCCCUGCGUGUCCAUGAAAAGCGACUGUUGGAGACCCAAGCCCCGACGUUCCAGGGCCUCGCCGGACCGUCAGCGCCCCUGCGCCCCAGGCUGGCUCGGCCGAGGCGGGGAAGCCCUCUGGUGGCCGCGGCCGACGUGACAACAGGCUCCCAGGCUCGGUGCUGCGGGGACGGCGCUCCCCGUGAAGACACAGUCUGCGAAGUCCCUGCGGCCUAAAUGCACCCUCCCCGUCGCCCCCAGAGCCUCCUAGUCCCCAGACCCCACCAGGUCCCCGCAGACAGCUGUCCCCGGGCCCGCCGAGCUCUGUCUUCGCGCCCAAGCUAGGCGGACCGCCGGGGACCCUGGCCUGGACACUCAGGGGAGGUCCCCCGAGCUCUCUGCUGAAGGCUUCCAGGCUCUGGUGGCGUCUCUCUGGUGGAGAUGGGCCAAAGGGACCCUUCCUUGAGAGGCACACCCGUCUCAGGACAGGUGGAGCAGCAUUGGCACACACAGGCUGGAGCUGUCGUGCCCUUCCCGGACCGUGCUGGUGCUGAGCCACUUUCUGGAGGUGUCGUCCCUCCAGGUACCCUGUUCCCCAAAGGUACCGCGCUCAGGAAAAGAUAGAGAACCACGAGCCUUCUGGGCAAAAGUUCCAGCAUCCCAGCCCUCCACCGUCUGGCCUCGAGCGUCCUUUCUAGCCUUAGUGUUAAGUGUAGUGUCCAGGUCAGGGGCUAGAAUUAGACAGCCUGGGCUAGAACCCCAGGUCCCCAACUUAUUGGCUAUGUAACUGUGUGGAAGGUUCUAAAUCCUUCGUUUCUAUGCAAGGUGGUUGAUAUUUUUUUUUUACUGUUUUAUUUUUUUAUUUAUAUAUAUAUUUUUUGGUGGUUGAUAUUUUAAUAAGGUAGCCUGUGUAUCGGCCUUAGCCUGGUGCUUGCCACACAGUCGAUGCCCAAUUGACGACAGCUGUCACUAGUACUCCUCGGUCAACAGGCCUACUGAUCUGCUCACAGGUAGACAUGUACUUGCACCUUCCAUCUCUGCACUUUGGCUUGUGACACUUUAUUUGCUUGGAAUGUCCUCUCCCUGUUCUCUAAUGUCAAGACCUCACCUGUUCUGCUGAGCCCAGCUCAAAUUUCUUCACCUGCUUAGGGAACUGAGCUAAUCCUGGACUUAGGAACCUCACGGGUUAUUGUGAGAGGAAACAAAUACUUUGUGAUAGUGCACCGUAUAAACGUAUACGUGUGUGUCAUAGAAAAAUGUGCAUGAUAUUUUAUUGCUUGUACAAUCAUUCUACAAAAUUAGAUAAAGCCUUAUAAUGUGUAUUCCUGCAUUACCGGAAUAGUUACUCAAAUUGUUUUGACAUUUUACUUCUCUGCGUAACACAUA